Molecule: ribosomal RNA, 487 nt
Filed under: uncultured bacterium
Lineage: Bacteria
Description: partial 16S ribosomal RNA
Rfam family: Bacterial small subunit ribosomal RNA
Source: RNAcentral
GACGAACGCUGGCGGCGUGCUUAACACAUGCAAGUCGUACGAUGACCCGGCUCUUCGGAGCUGGUGAUUAGUGGCGAACGGGUGAGUAACACGUGGGUGACCUGCCCUGCACUCUGGGAUAAGCCCGGGAAACUGGGUCUAAUACUGGAUACGACCAGUGGCCGUAUGGUCUGCUGGUGGAAAGCCCUUCGGGGUGGUGUGGGAUGGGCCCGCGGCCUAUCAGCUUGUUGGUGGGGUGAUGGCCUACCAAGGCGGCGACGGGUAGCCGGCCUGAGAGGGUGUACGGACUCACAUGGACUGAGACACGGCACAGAGUCAUAGAGGGGGCAGAAGUGGGGAAUAUAGCACCAGGGGCGAAAGCCUGAUGCAGCGACGCAGCGUCAGCGAUGACGUCCUUCGGGUUGUAAACAUCUUUCGGCAGGGAACAAGACUGGGGGUUUUCAUCUGGGUGAGGGUACCUGCGGAAGAAGCACCGGCUAACUACGUG